Microtus ochrogaster (prairie vole) is the source of this 582-nucleotide long non-coding RNA. RefSeq lists it as uncharacterized. NCBI's taxonomy places the organism in Eukaryota, Metazoa, Chordata, Mammalia, Rodentia, Cricetidae. The record is from RefSeq and is a predicted model, not a curated record. The transcript is spliced from 3 exons.
UGAUCGCCGGGGCCGCCCCCCGCGCGGCGAGCCUCUCGCGGGCGCUCCCAGCUGCACGUGCUGCCCCGCCGCCGCCCUCGCCAGACAAAGAAGGCCUUCCUGAGCGCCUUUCUUGGUUGCUUCCUCACUGUCAGAGGCCAGAAUGGAGGCGUGGACAGUGGUCUGGUUGGAAUUAGGAGCAGUGUGAGCAGAACUGUGGGGCUUGGCCUCCCUUCCAGUGAAGGAAGGAGCUCUGUUGGAAAUGCAAGAGUCCAGUGAUGGGUGGAGCAUGAACUAAUGGCCCAGUCUUCCUUCAAGAUUCUGCAGUUUUUGAAACACACUGGUGAUCCAGCAUGCGAUGAAUAGCUCUGACUUUCCCAAGGAGUCCUUACAUCUACUAUUUGGCUUCCUGGGACAGUGUGUGACCCCAGGGAAAGAGAAGACCCCUGGAGCUGCCUUGAUGUCUUGCUGAAGGUGAUGUAAUUUGGCUCUGCUUCUCACACUCCAGCCUCUCACCACUGGACUGUGUUAGGCAUGGUUUGGGAAUCUAUUCCUGGGACUCUUAGUUGCUGCAUCACGUGGUAGAAUAGAACUGUGGAGAAA